UACGGAGGAUGCGAGCGUUAUCCGGAUUUAUUGGGUUUAAAGGGUGCGUAGGCGGACUGUCAAGUCAGCGGUAAAAUUGAGAGGCUCAACCUCUUCCCGCCGUUGAAACUGGUGGUCUUGAGUGGAUGAGAAGUACGCGGAAUGCGUGGUGUAGCGGUGAAAUGCAUAGAUAACACGCAGAACUCCGAUUGCGAAGGCAGCGUACCGGCAUCCAACUGACGCUGAGGCACGAAAGCGUGGGGAUCAAAUAGG
Molecule: ribosomal RNA, 252 nt
Filed under: uncultured bacterium
Lineage: Bacteria
Description: partial 16S ribosomal RNA
Rfam family: Bacterial small subunit ribosomal RNA
Source: RNAcentral